UUGGGGAAUUCUGGGAGAUGU
RNAcentral lists this microRNA (21 nucleotides) under Anolis carolinensis (green anole). RNAcentral's name for it is "aca-miR-5408c-3p". The record is from miRBase by way of RNAcentral. Lineage: Eukaryota; Metazoa; Chordata; Lepidosauria; Squamata; Anolidae.